This 724-nucleotide ribosomal RNA is filed under the name uncultured Glomus. Its description in RNAcentral is "eukaryotic LSU rRNA". It matches the Rfam family "Eukaryotic large subunit ribosomal RNA", at positions 58 to 628 of the family's 3401-position model. The record is from RNAcentral. Lineage: Eukaryota; Fungi; Glomeromycota; Glomeromycetes; Glomerales; Glomeraceae.
AAAGAAAAUAACAAUGAUUCCCCUAGUAACUGCGAGUGAAGAGGGACAAGCUCAAAUUUUAAAUCUGUUCGGUUCUACCUGACAGAGUUGUAAUUUAAAGAAACGCUUUCUGUGUCUUGAGUUAAUCAAAAUCCUUUGGAAUGAGGUAUCAUGGAGGGUGACAAUCCCGUUCAUGGUUAAUUCUAAGAUGCUUUAUGAUGCGCUUUCGAAGAGUCGAGUUGUUUGGGAUUGCAGCUCAAAAUGGGAGGUAAAUUUCUCCUAAGGCUAAAUAUUGGCGAGAGACCGAUAGCGAACAAGUACCGUGAGGGAAAGAUGAAAAGAACUUUGAAAAGAGAGUUAAACAGUACGUGAAAUUGUUGAAAGGGAAACGAUUGAAGUCAGUCGUACCAGCGGGAAAUCAACCUUUCGGGUGGGAUUUUGGAGUUUUGAAGUGUGUUAAACCUUUGAGAUUUCAAAAUGUUUGCUCUUUUGGUGUACUUUCUCGUAGGUAGGUUAACAUCGAUUUUGAUCAUCAUAAAAGGAUUGGAGGAAUGUAGCUUCGAUCUCGUAUUGAAGUGUUAUAGCCUUUGGUAAAUGUGAUGAUUAGGAUCGAGGAUUGCAACGAAUACCCUUUUGGGCUAUCCGCCUGAUCUCUGAUACGUGGCCUCGGUAUUGAAAGCGUGCUUAUGAUAUCAAGGUAUUACGGUCAAAAGGUUAGAACGGAUUACAUUCGUUAAGGAUGUUG